GACGAACGCUGGCGGCGUGCUUAACACAUGCAAGUCGAACGGAAAGGCCCUGCUUUUGUGGGGUGCUCGAGUGGCGAACGGGUGAGUAACACGUGAGUAACCUGUCCCUGACUUUGGGAUAACUUCAGGAAACUGGGGCUAAUACCGGAUAGGAGCUCCUGCUGCAUGGUGGGGGUUGGAAAGAUUCGGUGGUUGGGGAUGGACUCGCGGCUUAUCAGCUUGUUGGUGGGGUAGUGGCUUACCAAGGUUUUGACGGGUAGCCGGCCUGCGAGGGUGAGCGGCCACAUUGGGACUGGGAUGCGGCACAGACUCCUACGGGAGGCAGCAGUGGGGAAUAUUGCACAAUGGGCGGAGGCCUGAUGCAGCAACGCCGCGUGCGGGAUGACGGCAUUCGGGUUGUAAUCCGCUGUCGCCUGUGACGAAGCGUUAGUGACGGUAAUGGGUAAAGAAGCACCGGCUAACUACGUG
Molecule: ribosomal RNA, 468 nt
Filed under: uncultured bacterium
Lineage: Bacteria
Description: partial 16S ribosomal RNA
Rfam family: Bacterial small subunit ribosomal RNA
Source: RNAcentral